Molecule: microRNA precursor, 61 nt
Filed under: Caenorhabditis elegans
Lineage: Eukaryota; Metazoa; Nematoda; Chromadorea; Rhabditida; Rhabditidae
Description: microRNA cel-mir-4923a precursor
Source: miRBase by way of RNAcentral
GUAAGCAAUUGCUUCUCAUUUUCAGAAAUUGUAUGUGAAAAAGAGAGCCUUUUGUUUACAG